Molecule: ribosomal RNA, 444 nt
Filed under: uncultured bacterium
Lineage: Bacteria
Description: bacterial SSU rRNA
Rfam family: Bacterial small subunit ribosomal RNA
Source: RNAcentral
CCUACGGGAGGCUGCAGUGGGGAAUAUUGGGCAAUGGAGGGAACUCUUACCCAGCAAUGCCGCGUGAGCGAAGAAGGCCUUCGGGUUGUAAAGCUCUUUGAUUGGGGACGAAGCAAGUGACGGUACCCAAGGAACAAGUCCCGGCUAACUAUGUGCCAGCAGCCGCGGUAAUACAUAGGGGACUAGCGUUGUCCGGAAUUACUGGGCGUAAAGGGUGUGUAGGCGGUUUUUUAAGUUGGAAGUGUAAUACCCAGAGCUUAACUCGGGUGCUGCUUCCAAAACUGGAAGACUAGAGUAUGGGAGAGGAUAAUGGAAUUCCUAGUGUAGCGGUGGAAUGCAUAGAUAUUAGGAGGAACACCAGAGGCGAAAGCGAUUAUCUGGACCAUAACUGACGCUGAGGCACGAAAGCGUGGGGAGCGAACAGGAUUAGAUACCCCGGUAGUC